CGUAACAAGGUUUCCGUAGGUGAACCUGCGGAAGGAUCAUUAUUGAAACUUUGGAAAUAGUACUGUUGCUGGCCUUUACUGGGGUAUGUGCACGUACUAUUUCUAAUCUUAUUCAUCCACCUGUGCAUUUAUUGUAGGAGGUCUUUAAAGGGUUAACUUUGUACAAAGUUGACUUGGAAAGGGCUUUCUAUGUUCUUACAAACCUAUUGAAGUAUGUUUCAGAAUGUUUUUAUUGGGACUUUAUUGGCCCUUUAAAUCUAUACAACUUUUAGCAACGGAUCUCUUGGCUCUCCCAUCGAUGAAGAACGCAGCGAAAUGCGAUAAGUAAUGUGAAUUGCAGAAUUCAGUGAAUCAUCGAAUCUUUGAACGCACCUUGCGCCCUCUGGUAUUCCGGAGGGCAUGCCUGUUUGAGUGUCAUUAAAUUCUCAACUUCAAAAGCUUUUAUUAGUUUAUUGAAGUUUGGAUGUGGGAGCUUGCUGGCGUCUUAGAUGUUCGGCUCUCCUUAAAUUUAUUAGUGGAAAUCUCUUUGUUGGAGUAAUUCUUAGUGUGAUAAUUAUCUACGCUUGGGAUGGUCCAAUGUUUCCAUUGAGAUUGUUCAGUUUAAAUGCCUUUUUGGUGUUUUCUGGUUUUGUAGUAUUGCAACUAAGUUGCUUUACUUGAAUCUCAGAGGAAAGGGGAAGUUUUGCUCUCUAACUGUCUGUGUAUUACGGACAAUUUAUUGACUAUUUGACCUCAAAUCAGGUAGGAUUACCCGCUGAACUUAAGCAUAUCAAUAAGCGGAGGAAAAGAAACUAACAAGGAUUCCCCUAGUAACUGCGAGUGAAGAGGGAAAAGCUCAAAUUUAAAAUCUGGCAGUCCUUUGAUGGUCCAAGUUGUAUUUAAAAGAAUUGUAACCCUGGUUGAACCGGGUACAAGUUUCCUGGAAUGGAACGUCAUAAAAGGGUGAAGAAUCCCGUCUUUGACACGGAAUCCCAAUGGCAUUGGGGUUGCGCUCUCGAAAAGUCAAGUUGUUUGGGAAUGCAGUUCUAAAUGGGGUGGUAAAUUCCAUCUAAAGCUAA
This 1058-nucleotide ribosomal RNA is filed under the name Gymnopus pygmaeus. RNAcentral describes it as "eukaryotic LSU rRNA". The stretch from base 728 to 1058 matches the Rfam family "Eukaryotic large subunit ribosomal RNA", at positions 1 to 319 of the family's 3401-position model. The record is from RNAcentral. Lineage: Eukaryota; Fungi; Basidiomycota; Agaricomycetes; Agaricales; Omphalotaceae.